This 439-nucleotide long non-coding RNA is filed under the name Trifolium pratense (red clover). RNAcentral describes it as "long non-coding RNA (TPRA_LNC010209)". The record is from RNAcentral. Lineage: Eukaryota; Viridiplantae; Streptophyta; Magnoliopsida; Fabales; Fabaceae.
CUUAUCAACUAUUAGAGUUUGAAGGAAUUGAGGUGCCUAAUGCUUCCAGCUUCUGUACCAGUGCGCUUAAUACUGUUAGCAGAUUUCACAGCAUGCAAAAUGUAAUUCUGCAGACUUAAAAUAAGCCUAUCCCAAUGCAAGUCUCAAACAUUAGAGGGUGUCAUCUGACUGCGGGUUUUUAUAAGCUAAAUGUUGAUUCUGCAGGUCCGUCAGGUCAGGGAAAGUGGGGCCUAGCUACGGUGAUUCAAGAUGCAGAUGGUUUGGUAUCAGCUGUGGGUUGUUGGUGUUUACCAAUAUUGCCCUACUCUAAUGUUGCAGAAGCGUUUGAAAAAGUUUGGCGUUUGCAAGGGAUUUGUUAUUUUUAUCUCUUCAGGCAGGAUCUGACAAUAGUAACAUGAUUGCGGCACUCACAAACAAGCAACAGGUCUCAGCCUACUGG